This 253-nucleotide ribosomal RNA is filed under the name uncultured bacterium. RNAcentral's name for it is "partial 16S ribosomal RNA". It matches the Rfam family "Bacterial small subunit ribosomal RNA", at positions 524 to 776 of the family's 1533-position model. The record is from RNAcentral.
UACGUAGGGGGCAAGCGUUGUCCGGAUUUAUUGGGCGUAAAGAGCGUGUAGGCGGUUUGGUAGGUCCUCUGUGAAAACUCGAGGCUCAACCUCGAGACGCCGGUGGAAACCAUCAGGCUAGAGUCCGGAAGAGGAGAGUGGAAUUCCUGGUGUAGCGGUGAAAUGCGCAGAUAUCAGGAAGAACACCCGUGGCUAAGGCGGCUCUCUAGUACGGUACUGACGCUGAGACGCGAAAGCGUGGGGAGCGAACAGG